This 148-nucleotide non-coding RNA is filed under the name Gorilla gorilla gorilla (western lowland gorilla). Lineage: Eukaryota; Metazoa; Chordata; Mammalia; Primates; Hominidae. The record is from Rfam by way of RNAcentral.
GCUGGGUGUGGUGGCGUGCAUCUGUAGUCCCAGCUACUGAGGAGGCUGAGGCAGGAGAAUUGCUUGAACCCAGGAGGCAGAGGUUGCAGUGAGCUGAGAUCGCGCCACUGCACUCCAUCCUGGGCGACAGAGCAAGACUCUGUCUCUC